RNAcentral lists this ribosomal RNA (257 nucleotides) under uncultured prokaryote. Its description in RNAcentral is "partial 16S ribosomal RNA". It matches the Rfam family "Bacterial small subunit ribosomal RNA", at positions 524 to 780 of the family's 1533-position model. The record is from RNAcentral.
UACGGAGGAUGCAAGCGUUAUCCGGAUUCAUUGGGUUUAAAGGGUGCGUAGGCGGGCUAUUAAGUCAGUGGUGAAAUCCUGCAGCUUAACUGCAGAACUGCCGUUGAUACUGAUAGUCUUGAGUUUGGUUAAGGUAGGCGGAAUGUGUAAUGUAGCGGUGAAAUGAUUAGAUAUUACACAGAACACCAAUUGCGUAGGCAGCUUACUGAGCCGACACUGACGCUGAGGCACGAAAGCGUGGGGAUCGAACAGGAUUA